This 500-nucleotide long non-coding RNA is filed under the name Equus caballus (horse). RNAcentral describes it as "lncRNA (ENSECAG00000051807.1)". The record is from RNAcentral. Lineage: Eukaryota; Metazoa; Chordata; Mammalia; Perissodactyla; Equidae.
GUAUAGCUCCUAUCUGCUGGAUUGGAUGCUGCCCAAUUCAAAUUGAUUUUUGCUCAAAUAAAUUUUUAAAGAUUUUACUAUGCCUCAGUUUAUCUUAGCAGUUCUGUUAGUAACAGUAGGAAGAGGGAACCGAGGGCGACCCCCUCCAAAGGCCCCCAGGAGCUACGAGCAACCAGCCGUGGCGCCUGUGGAGGCCCUGAGCUCCGCUGCAGCUUUCUCGCUGCCUCAGCGGGUCGUGGGACAAUAAUGCCAUUACUGUUUGUGCCGGAGAAAGGCAAUUCUAGAAACUCGCAGACCUCUGUCAUCAGAGGGAGCUCAUCCAAAGAUAUCAAGUUGUAAAAUUUUGGUUUUGACAGGAUGUCAAAUAAUUGGAAUCCUACAACAGAUAGCUUUUUAAGACUGACUUCUUUCACUUAACAAUAUGCACUUCAGGUUCCUUCAUGUCUUUUCAUGGCUUAAUAGCUCAAAUCUUUUUAUCACUGAAUGACAUUCCAUUAUAU